GAGUUUGAUCCUGGCUCAGGGUGAACGCUGGCGGCGCGCUUAAUGCAUGCAAGUCGAACGUGCUUUCGGGCAAGUGGCAGACGGCUGAGUAACGCGUGAGUAACGUGCCCUCCGGUGGGGUAUAGCCUCGGGAAACUGAGAGUAAUCCCGCAUACGAUCCGGUGGCCUUGGUUGCCGGAUGAAAGCCUUCGGGCGCCGGAGGAGCGGCUCGCGUCCUAUCAGGUAGUUGGUGGGGUAAAAGCUCACCAAGCCUAUGACGGGUAGCUGGUCUUAGAGGACGAUCAGCCAGAGGGGGACUGAGACACGGCCCCCACUCCUACGGGAGGCAGCAGCAGGGAAUUUUGGGCAAUGGGCGAAAGCCUGACCCAGCGACGUCGCGUGGGGGAUGAAGGCCUUUGGGCUGUAAACCCCUUUUCCCGGGGAAGAGAAAGGACGGUACCCGGGGAAUAAGCUCCGGCUAACUACGUGCCAGCAGCCGCGGUAAUACGUAGGAUGCGAGCGUUGUCCGGAUUUACUGGGCGUAAAGGGCGAGUAGGCGGCCCGCUAAGUCUCAUGUGAAAUCUCCCGGCUCAACUGGGAGGGGUCAUGAGAAACUGGCAGGCUUGAGGUCAGCAGAGGAAAGCGGAAUUCCCGGAGUAGCGGUGAUAUGCGUAGAUACCGGGAGGAACACCAGAGGCGAAGGCGGCUUUCUGGGCUGCACCUGACGCUGAGGCGCGAAAGCGUGGGGAGCGAACCGGAUUAGAUACCCUGGUAGUC
This 756-nucleotide ribosomal RNA is filed under the name uncultured Chloroflexota bacterium. RNAcentral describes it as "bacterial SSU rRNA". It matches the Rfam family "Bacterial small subunit ribosomal RNA", at positions 9 to 795 of the family's 1533-position model. Lineage: Bacteria; Bacillati; Chloroflexota. The record is from RNAcentral.